GAUCGCCGGGCGCCGUUUUGGGAGUACGUUGGCGUGCGGAGCAGCCCGCCCUGCCUCCGGAAGUUACGCGCUCAGUCCCGCCCCCGGAGGAUCGCGGGCGCCGGCCGGGGUUGGGUCUACAGUGCUGGUUACCCUGAGCGAGUGAGCCGUGGUCUCAGCGGCUGUAGUCCUUGUUGACUCCGGCAGGUCGACGGUCCGAUCCCCGGCCUAAGGUCGCCUGUCCGCUCUGUUUCUCGCUUCUGCCGGUUCCUUGAGGUGAACACGCCCGCAGACCUCGAGUGGCCGGCCGAGACGGUGCUGCGCAGCAGAUUCAUUGUCGCGAAUGCCUAGUGGACCUCGCCGUCGAACCAGCAGCCCGCCGGGUUGUGCAAUUCUAGGGUCUAAACUUGAAGUGGGGAGAAGGUGGAUGCAGGAGAACUAAAGUUGCAGCAAGAAGUGAUCACCUCAGUGUCCUUGGUGGAGGAGGACACAGCUGUGCCUGAAGCAAGCCUUCCUGACUGUGGGGGUUCCUUGAAGUACGUCAUGGAUGAUGGAGGACCCCAGGGCCAUCCUCAUUGUUACAGGAUUUGUCCAAUGCACCCAGGUGGCCACAUGAUUGAUGUUUUCUCAGGAAUAAAGCAUUACAUUGAAGAAUCUUACAUAAUUCAGAAGGUUUGACAUGCUAUGGAGAAAGAAAGGAACAUGGAACUUGGAAAUUAGCUGAACUCUAACUGUGAAAACACAGCUGAAGCUCUGGGAAAUAUUUUCUUGCUUGAAGUGGAUCUAUCCUUGCUUCCAGAGGGCAGCAGAGGAGGGGAAAUCAGCUUGGACACAUUUUUCAGGGCAUCUUGGUUUGUUGAAAAAGAGGUAUCAUGAUGCAUUUUAAUGUGCUUUAAGUUUAUUUUAAAAGAAAAGCAAAGAGUGAACACCAAGCAUGAAUGCCGUAGUAUUUACUGCUUUCAACCAUCUUGAACUGUUUGGUGCCAUUCAAAUCAAAGUUCUAUAAUAAUGAGAAGGUCUAUUCUACUGAAUUACUGUGACUAGAAUUAAACAUGUACUCAAACGCACACACUCACAUUCACACCUCCAUCUUUGAGCAUCACUGCCAUAUAAACUGCAGUGAAUUCCCAAACUGCAACUGAUGAGUCAGAAAGCACUUUUAAAAUCACCUGAGGGAUGUGGCGUCUAGGUGGCUCAGUUGUUUAAGCAUCUGGACUCCUGAUUUCUGCUCAGGUCAUCAUAUCAUGGUGAGAUCAAGCCCCAGAGGUCAUGAUCUCAUGGUCGUGAGAUAGAGCCUCACGUUGAGUUCUAUGUUGGACUCCAUGCUGGGAGUGGAGCCUGUUUGGGAUUCUCUCUCUUCCUCUCUCU
Molecule: long non-coding RNA, 1347 nt
Organism: Herpailurus yagouaroundi (jaguarundi)
Lineage: Eukaryota; Metazoa; Chordata; Mammalia; Carnivora; Felidae
Exons: 4
Source: RefSeq, a predicted model, not a curated record